Molecule: small nuclear RNA, 107 nt
Organism: Peromyscus maniculatus bairdii (prairie deer mouse)
Lineage: Eukaryota; Metazoa; Chordata; Mammalia; Rodentia; Cricetidae
Source: Ensembl
GUACUCAUUUUGGCAACAUAUAUACUAAAGUUGAAACAAUAUAGAGAAAAUUAACAUGGCCCCUGUACAAUCAUGAUACACAAGUUCAUAAAGUAUUCCAUAUUUUA